Molecule: ribosomal RNA, 505 nt
Filed under: uncultured bacterium
Lineage: Bacteria
Description: bacterial SSU rRNA
Rfam family: Bacterial small subunit ribosomal RNA
Source: RNAcentral
AAUCAUGGCUCAGGAUGAACGCUAGCUACAGGCUUAACACAUGCAAGUCGAGGGGAAACGAUAGAGAAAGCUUGCUUUUUCUAGGCGUCGACCGGCGCACGGGUGAGUAACGCGUAUCCAACCUGCCCACCACUUGGGGAUAACCUUGCGAAAGUAAGACUAAUACCCAAUGACGUCUCUAGAAGACAUCUGAAAGAGAUUAAAGAUUUAUCGGUGAUGGAUGGGGAUGCGUCUGAUUAGCUUGUUGGCGGGGUAACGGCCCACCAAGGCGACGAUCAGUAGGGGUUCUGAGAGGAAGGUCCCCCACAUUGGAACUGAGACACGGUCCAAACUCCUACGGGAGGCAGCAGUGAGGAAUAUUGGUCAAUGGACGAGAGUCUGAACCAGCCAAGGAGCGUGCAGGAUGACGGCCCUAUGGGUUGUAAACUGCUUUUAUAAGGGAAUAAAGUGAGUCUCGUGAGACUUUUUGCAUGUACCUUAUGAAUAAGGACCGGCUAAUUCCGUG